This 73-nucleotide transfer RNA is filed under the name Deferribacteraceae bacterium. Its description in RNAcentral is "tRNA-Ala". It matches the Rfam family "tRNA". From Rfam's summary of the family: Transfer RNA (tRNA) molecules are approximately 80 nucleotides in length. Their secondary structure includes four short double-helical elements and three loops (D, anti-codon, and T loops). The record is from RNAcentral. Lineage: Bacteria; Pseudomonadati; Deferribacterota; Deferribacteres; Deferribacterales; Deferribacteraceae.
GGGGCGGUAGCUCAAUUGGUAGAGUACCACAAUGGCAUUGUGGGGGUCAGGGGUUCGAUCCCCCUUCGCUCCA